CCUACGAGUGGCAGCAGUGGGGGAUAUUGCACAAUGGGGGAAACCCUGAUGCAGCGACGCCGCGUGGGUGAAGAAGCGCCUCGGCGUGUAAAGCUCUGUCAGCAGGGAAGAAAAAGACGGUACCUGAAGAAGAAGCCCCGGCUAACUACGUGCCAGCAGCCGCGGUAAUACGUAGGGGGCCAGCGUUAUCCGGAUUUACUGGGUGUAAAGGGAGCGUAGACGGGGAUGUAAGUCAGGAGUGAAAGCGCGGGGCCCAACCCCGGGACUGCUGUUGAAACUGGGUGGCUAGAGUGCAGGAGGGGUAAGCGGAAUUCCUGGUGUAGCGGUGAAAUGCGUAGAUAUCAGGAGGAACACCGGUGGCGAAGGCGGCCUACUGGACUGCAACUGACGUUGAGGCCCGAAAGCGUGGGGAGCAAACAGGAUUAGAUACCCUAGUAGUC
This 440-nucleotide ribosomal RNA is filed under the name uncultured bacterium. RNAcentral's name for it is "partial 16S ribosomal RNA". It matches the Rfam family "Bacterial small subunit ribosomal RNA", at positions 338 to 795 of the family's 1533-position model. The record is from RNAcentral.